Non-coding RNA from Pelodiscus sinensis (Chinese soft-shelled turtle), 202 nucleotides. The record is from RefSeq and is a predicted model, not a curated record. Lineage: Eukaryota; Metazoa; Chordata; Testudines; Trionychidae.
AGACCAUCAUCUGACUGCAGUUAGCUUGGGGGGCUCCAGCUGUGCUCUGAAAUGUCAUGGACCGAGGUGAGCCAGAGAGCGUUAAUGUCUAUGAAUUCCCAGCCUAUUUGUGGAUGCAGAAAUGUUCUGAUCACUGGAGCAAACUACUUUGUCCCCUACUGAGAAAUGCAGAGCUGCACCUAAACCAGCAGUAAAACAGCAG